RNAcentral lists this ribosomal RNA (497 nucleotides) under uncultured bacterium. RNAcentral's name for it is "partial 16S ribosomal RNA". It matches the Rfam family "Bacterial small subunit ribosomal RNA", at positions 28 to 507 of the family's 1533-position model. The record is from RNAcentral.
GAUGAACGCUGGCGGCGGGCCUAACACAUGCAAGUCGAGCGAACGGACGAUAAGCUCUCGCCCCUGAUGUUGGCGGCGGACGGGCGGGUAACACGUGGAUAACCUACCUCUAUGACUGGGAUAAUUACGGGGAACCGGAGCUAAUACUGGAUGAUAUUUUGUACCGCAUGGUGCAAGAGUGAAAGACGGUUUGCCUGUCAGUUAUAGAUGGUUCCGCGUUGCAUUAGCUAGUUGGUAAGGUAACGGCUAACCAAGGCAACGAUGCAUAGCCGACCUGAGAGGGUGAUCGGCCACACUGGAACUGAGACACGGUCCAGACUCCUACGGGAGGCAGCAGUAGGGAAUCUUCCGCAAUGGGCGCAAGCCUGACCCAGCAACACCGCGUGAGUGAUGAAGGUCUUCGGAUCGUAAAGCUCUGUUAUUAGGGAAGAACAUCUGUGUAUUAAUACGCGGACAUCUUGACGGUACCCAAACAGAAAGCCCCGGCUAACUACGUG